RNAcentral lists this non-coding RNA (376 nucleotides) under unclassified sequences. RNAcentral's name for it is "Bacteroidales-2 RNA". It matches the Rfam family "Bacteroidales-2 RNA". The record is from Rfam by way of RNAcentral.
GCACGUCCCAGACCUUUUCCAGUCUGGCAGCUACACCGUUAGAAACCUUGCGUUUGGUGAUUAUGGGCAUAACAUUGGCAAUGCCCUUUUCUCAUGCUUGGUUGCUGUCUGGUAUUAUUCGACAGCUUGUAAUAGUAUCCGUAUAUGCCUACCCUACGCAACUGGGCGUACUCCUUGCAAUGGACUUUUUACAGUUCCUACUUAUCCGGUUUUAACGCUGUUUUAUUGGCGCAAAGGUUUACGGAUAAACAACUAAUAAUUAAACCUUUUGUGUGCGAAACGUGGUUGUUUAACGUACUCUUUAAUCGCUCCGAAGCGAACACACUGUUUUGAUUUUAGGGCAAAACUAUCUUUCGAUUAAAAAACCUUUUUGUUU